GAUGAACGCUGGCGGCGUGCCUAAUACAUGCAAGUCGAGCGAACAGAUGAGGAGCUUGCUCCUCGGACGUUAGCGGCGGACGUGUGAGUAACACGAGUAUAACCUACCUAUAAUACUGGUAUAUCUUCGGGAAACCGGAGCUAAUACCGGAUAAUAUAUUGAACCGCGUGGUGCAAUAGUGAAAGUCGGUUUUGCUGUCACUUCUAGAUGGAUCUCGGCCGGAUUAGAUGGUUGGUAAGGUAACGGCUUACCAAGGCAACGAUGCGUAGCCGACCUGAGAGAGGGGUCGGCGACACGGGAGCGUGACCGGCGUCCAGACUCCUAAGGUAGGCAGCAGUAGGGAACCGGCCGCAAUAGGGGAAAGCCUGACGGAGCAACGCCACGCGAGAGAUGAAGGUGUUCGGAUCGUAAAGCUCUGUUAUGAGUGAAAAACAAAUGUGUAAGUAACUAUGCACGUCUUGACGGUACCUGAUCAGGAAGCCACGGCUAACUACGUG
This 497-nucleotide ribosomal RNA is filed under the name uncultured bacterium. Its description in RNAcentral is "partial 16S ribosomal RNA". It matches the Rfam family "Bacterial small subunit ribosomal RNA", at positions 28 to 507 of the family's 1533-position model. The record is from RNAcentral.